UACGGAGGGUGCGAGCGUUGUUCGGAAUCACUGGGCGUAAAGCGCGUGUAGGCGGCCCACUAAGUCUGAUGUGAAAGCCCGGGGCUCACCCCCGGAAGUGCAUUGGAAACUGGUGGACUCGAGUCCCGGAGAGGAGAGUGGAAUUCCUGGUGUAGCGGUGAAAUGCGUAGAUAUCAGGAGGAACACCGGUGACGAAGGCGGCUCUCUGGACGGUGACUGACGCUGAGACGCGAAAGCGUGGGGAGCAAACAGG
Molecule: ribosomal RNA, 253 nt
Filed under: uncultured bacterium
Lineage: Bacteria
Description: partial 16S ribosomal RNA
Rfam family: Bacterial small subunit ribosomal RNA
Source: RNAcentral